GUGGGGAAUAUUGGACAAUGGGCGCAAGCCUGAUCCAGCCAUGCCGCGUGAGUGAUGAAGGCCCUAGGGUUGUAAAGCUCUUUCACCGGUGAAGAUAAUGACGGUAACCGGAGAAGAAGCCCCGGCUAACUUCGUGCCAGCAGCCGCGGUAAUACGAAGGGGGCUAGCGUUGUUCGGAAUUACUGGGCGUAAAGCGCACGUAGGCGGAUAUUUAAGUUAGGGGUGAAAUCCCAGGGCGCAACCCUGGAACUGCCUCUAAUACUGGGUAUCUCGAGUCCGAGAGAGGUGAGUGGAAUUCCGAGUGUAGAGGUGAAAUUCGUAGAUAUUCGGAGGAACACCAGUGGCGAAGGCGGCUCACUGGCUCGGUACUGACGCUGAGGUGCGAAAGCGUGGGGAGCAAACAGGAUUAGAAACCCCAGUAGUCC
Molecule: ribosomal RNA, 425 nt
Filed under: uncultured bacterium
Lineage: Bacteria
Description: partial 16S ribosomal RNA
Rfam family: Bacterial small subunit ribosomal RNA
Source: RNAcentral